Molecule: small RNA, 125 nt
Filed under: Marmota monax (woodchuck)
Lineage: Eukaryota; Metazoa; Chordata; Mammalia; Rodentia; Sciuridae
Source: RNAcentral
GCCAGGAGUGGUGGUGCACACCUGUAAUCCCAGUGGCUUGGGAGGCUGAGGCAGGAGGCUGGAGAGUUGAAAGCCAGCUUCAGCAAUGGCAAGGUGCAAAGAAAUUCAGUGAGACCCUGUCUCUA